Molecule: ribosomal RNA, 492 nt
Filed under: uncultured bacterium
Lineage: Bacteria
Description: partial 16S ribosomal RNA
Rfam family: Bacterial small subunit ribosomal RNA
Source: RNAcentral
AGUGAACGCUGGCGGUAGGCCUAACACAUGCAAGUCGAACGGCAGCACAGUAAGAGCUUGCUCUUACGGGUGGCGAGUGGCGGACGUGUGAGGAAUACAUCGGAAUCUACUUUUUCGUGGGGGAUAACGUAGGGAAACUUACUCUAAUACCGCAUACGACCUACGGGUGAAAGCAGGGGAUCGUCUCACCGUGCGCGGUUGAAUGCGCCGAUGUCGGAUUAGCUAGUUGGGGGGGUAAAGGCCCACGAAGGCGACGAUCCGUAGCUGGUCUGAGAGGACGGUCAGCCGCACGGGAGCUGGGACGGGGACCAGGCGCCUACGAGAGGCAGCAGUGGGGAAUGUUGGACAACGGUGGGGAGCCUGACACAGCGGUACGGAGUGGGAGACGACGACCUCGCGGUUGUGAAGACGUUUUGUUGGGAGAAAAACGCAGCCGGCUGAGACCCAGCUGUACUGACGGUAACGAAAGAAUAAGCACCGGCUAACUUCGUG